CGACAAAAUGCUUUAUGCAAACCUGAUAGUUUUUUUUUGCUAGAUUCUGUGGGUACCAUACUGUGAGUUUAUAGCAAGCUUUCUCUUUUGUUCUUCACAGCCCAUGCUAUGAAGUCCAGUACCCUUCGUAUCAAUGUGCUCUAAAUUCUUGAAAAUGCAACUGUGGAUGACCAUGACUCAGCACUACAAAUGAAGUAAUUACUGAAGAAUGCCAUGACAUGGAUGUCAAAAAACAUUAAACUGAGUGAAAGAAGCCAGGCCUAACAGGCUACCAAACUAAAAUGAAAACUGAAUGUUACUCUGACGGUGACCUUCGUCUCUUCACACAGAGGAGUUGGUGAAAUCUUAGAUU
This 352-nucleotide long non-coding RNA is filed under the name Felis catus (domestic cat). Its description in RNAcentral is "lncRNA (ENSFCAG00000052112.1)". Lineage: Eukaryota; Metazoa; Chordata; Mammalia; Carnivora; Felidae. The record is from RNAcentral.